RNAcentral lists this ribosomal RNA (253 nucleotides) under uncultured bacterium. Its description in RNAcentral is "partial 16S ribosomal RNA". It matches the Rfam family "Bacterial small subunit ribosomal RNA", at positions 524 to 776 of the family's 1533-position model. The record is from RNAcentral.
UACGGGGGGGGCAAGCGUUGUUCGGAAUUACUGGGCGUAAAGGGCGUGUAGGUGGCCAACUAAGUCAUACGUGAAAUCCCUCGGCUCAACCGGGGAACUGCGUCCGAUACUGGAUGGCUUGAGUUCGGGAGAGGGAUGCGGAAUUCCAGGUGUAGCGGUGAAAUGCGUAGAUAUCUGGAGGAACACCGGUGGCGAAGGCGGCAUCCUGGACCGACACUGACGCUGAGGAGCGAAAGCCAGGGGAGCAAACGGG